Non-coding RNA from Acanthosepion pharaonis, 109 nucleotides. The record is from the annotation of a GenBank genome assembly. Lineage: Eukaryota; Metazoa; Mollusca; Cephalopoda; Sepiida; Sepiidae.
UUACGGCCAUAUCACGUUGAAACACCGGUUUCAGUAUGAUCCCCGAAGUUAAGCAAUGUCGAGCAUCGUCAGUACCUAGAUGGGUGACCGCUUAUGUAUACCAGGUGUU